UAAGGGGGUGUUUGGAUAGCAUGUGCUAAAUUUUAGCACCUGUCACAUCGGAUGUUUGGACACUAAUUAGGAGUAUUAAACAUAGUCUAAUUACAAAACUAAUUGCACAACCCCUAGGCUAAAUCGCGAGACGAAUCUAUUAAGCCUAAUUAAUCCAUCAUUAGCGAAUGGUUACUGUAGCACCACAUUGUCAAAUCAUGGACUAAUUAGGCUUAAUAGAUUCGUCUCGCGAUUUAGCCUAGGGGUUGUGCAAUUAGUUUUGUAAUUAGGCUAUGUUUAAUACUCCUAAUUAGUAUCUAAACAUCCGAUGUGACAUGUGCUAAAAUUUAGCACAUGCCUCCCAAACACCCCCUAAAUCCGG
RNAcentral lists this long non-coding RNA (361 nucleotides) under Setaria italica (foxtail millet). RNAcentral describes it as "long non-coding RNA (SITA_LNC006764)". The record is from RNAcentral. Lineage: Eukaryota; Viridiplantae; Streptophyta; Magnoliopsida; Poales; Poaceae.